UGUAGCUGGCCUCUCACGAGGCAUGUGCACGCCUGGCUCAUCCACUCUUAACCUCUGAGCACUUUAUGUAAGAGAAAAAAAUGGUGGAAGCUUCCAGGAUCUCGCGAGAGGUCUUCGGUUGAACAAGCCGUUUUUCUUUCUUAUGUUUUACUACAAACGCUUCAGUUAUAGAAUGUCAACUGUGUAUGACACAUUUAUAUAC
This 202-nucleotide unclassified non-coding RNA is filed under the name Irpex lacteus. Its description in RNAcentral is "ITS1". Lineage: Eukaryota; Fungi; Basidiomycota; Agaricomycetes; Polyporales; Irpicaceae. The record is from RNAcentral.